Molecule: ribosomal RNA, 253 nt
Filed under: uncultured bacterium
Lineage: Bacteria
Description: partial 16S ribosomal RNA
Rfam family: Bacterial small subunit ribosomal RNA
Source: RNAcentral
UACGGAGGGUGCAAGCGUUAAUCGGAAUUACUGGGCGUAAAGCGUGCGCAGGCGGUUUGUUAAGUCUGCUGUGAAAUCCCCGAGCUCAACUUGGGAAUUGCAGUGGAUACUGGCAAGCUGGAGUACGGUAGAGGAAGGUGGAAUUCCCGGUGUAGCAGUGAAAUGCGUAGAGAUCGGGAGGAACACCAGUGGCGAAGGCGGCCUUCUGGACCAGUACUGACGCUGAGGUGCGAAAGCGUGGGGAGCAAACAGG